RNAcentral lists this ribosomal RNA (330 nucleotides) under Mozena lunata. RNAcentral's name for it is "partial small subunit ribosomal RNA". The record is from RNAcentral. Lineage: Eukaryota; Metazoa; Arthropoda; Insecta; Hemiptera; Coreidae.
AUCGAUGAUCCACGAUGGAUUUUACUUAAAUUUUUGCUUGUAUAUCUCUGUCAUUGAAUGUUUUAUUAGAAUUAUUUUCUUUAAAUAUUAAUUUAUAUAAUGUCAGGUCAAGGUGCAACUAUAUUUAAGGUUGAGAUGGGCUACAUUUAAUGUUAAUUUAUUAGUUUAUUUAUUGUAAUAUAAAUAUUAAAUAGGAUUUGAAAGUAAUUAUUAAUAACUAUUAAUAAUGAUUUUAGCUCUAGAUUAUGCACACAUCGCCCGUCACUCUCAUUUUAAGAUGAGAUAAGUCGUAACAAAGUAAUUCUACUGGAAAGUGGAGUUUGAAUUAUC